GCCUUGGUGGCUUAGUUGGUUAAGCAUCUGCCUUUAGCUCAGGUCAUGAUCCCAGGGUCUUGGGAUCAAGCCCCACUUUGGGCU
Molecule: transfer RNA, 84 nt
Filed under: Ailuropoda melanoleuca (giant panda)
Lineage: Eukaryota; Metazoa; Chordata; Mammalia; Carnivora; Ursidae
Rfam family: tRNA
About the family: Transfer RNA (tRNA) molecules are approximately 80 nucleotides in length. Their secondary structure includes four short double-helical elements and three loops (D, anti-codon, and T loops). Further hydrogen bonds mediate the characteristic L-shaped molecular structure. tRNAs have two regions of fundamental functional importance: the anti-codon, which is responsible for specific mRNA codon recognition, and the 3' end, to which the tRNAs corresponding amino acid is attached (by aminoacyl-tRNA synthetases). tRNAs cope with the degeneracy of the genetic code in two manners: having more than one tRNA (with a specific anti-codon) for a particular amino acid; and 'wobble' base-pairing, i.e. permitting non-standard base-pairing at the 3rd anti-codon position.
Source: Rfam by way of RNAcentral